CAGGGCUCUGCCUGCCACAAUUCAUGAGCUGGCCAGAGGUCUUUGGAUUCCUCCCAGUCAUUGCUGAGAUGAGUGAGGAUUGUUUCAGAAAAUCAGGCCUCCUCCUGGGGAAUGUGCCUCAGCUUCUGCGCUAAGCCUGGCUGAAGAGGCGAAGACCCUUCUCUCCAGCCUGUGCUCAGGAAC
This is a long non-coding RNA of Homo sapiens (human), 183 nucleotides long. Ensembl annotates it as long intergenic non-protein coding RNA 598. The record is from Ensembl. Lineage: Eukaryota; Metazoa; Chordata; Mammalia; Primates; Hominidae.